RNAcentral lists this long non-coding RNA (686 nucleotides) under Olea europaea subsp. europaea. The record is from RNAcentral. Lineage: Eukaryota; Viridiplantae; Streptophyta; Magnoliopsida; Lamiales; Oleaceae.
AAUCGACGGUCCAUGAUAUAUGUUCUUUGCCUAAGUUUUUACAAUCAGAAUUUGUGAUUUCAUUUCAUUUAAUCACAGCCAUCAAUCAGAUCGAUGGCCUUCAGCUAAGUAGAUUCUCCACCCUGGAGUCCUUGACAAACGUCCUAUAAAUACCAUAGCUUCAUAGCCAUUGGGAAAUCAAAAAACAACUCAGUCUCAAUCCCCUCAAAAACCCUCCUAGGAUAAUACAUUGUCUGUACGUCUCCUGUAAAAAUGGCCGGAAACAACAUGCAGAAGAAAUCUUCAGAUGGUUCUUUCUCUCUUUUCAACAUCUUCAAAGGCAAAAGGUCGAGGGGUGGAAGAGUAGUUGAAGAUAUAAGAUAUAAUGAUUCUAUGAAGGCUUGCAAAAAAGUUUGGCCUAGUGAUGAAGAUGGAGUUUGGUAUGUGGCCAAGCCUGGAAUUGACAAGUUAGCUUCUACUUACAUCAUUUCAACUACAGAGAAGUGGAAAAGUGUAGCAGCGACCGACUAGUUAAUUAUCGGCAUAUCGUCUGAUUUAUUGUUACUUAAUUCCAUCUGCUGCAACUUCUACAUUCAUUAUGUGUUGAUUGAAAUUGUUAAAUAAUUCUUACUAUUGUUAUAGGAAGUGGUGUUUGAUCUAGUUAAGUUGUGAAAUGCUAAUAACAGUUAAUGAAUGAAUAAUGCCUG